This 414-nucleotide ribosomal RNA is filed under the name uncultured bacterium. RNAcentral's name for it is "bacterial SSU rRNA". It matches the Rfam family "Bacterial small subunit ribosomal RNA", at positions 505 to 916 of the family's 1533-position model. The record is from RNAcentral.
GUGUCAGCCGCCGCGGUAAUACGUAGGGUGCAAGCGUUGUCCGGAUUUAUUGGGCGUAAAGAGCUCGUAGGCGGUUUGUCGCGUCGGAUGUGAAAACCUAUGGCUUAACCAUGGGCCUGCAUUCGAUACGGGCAGACUAGAGUUCGGUAGGGGAGACUGGAACUCCUGGUGUAGCGGUGAAAUGCGCAGAUAUCAGGAAGAACACCGGUGGCGAAGGCGGGUCUCUGGGCCGAUACUGACGCUGAGGAGCGAAAGCGUGGGGAGCAAACAGGAUUAGAUACCCUGGUAGUCCACGCCGUAAACGUUGGGCGCUAGGUGUGGGGAACCUUCCACGUUCUCCGUGCCGUAGCUAACGCAUUAAGCGCCCCGCCUGGGGAGUACGGCCGCAAGGCUAAAACUCAAAUGAAUUGGCGG